RNAcentral lists this ribosomal RNA (424 nucleotides) under uncultured prokaryote. Its description in RNAcentral is "bacterial SSU rRNA". It matches the Rfam family "Bacterial small subunit ribosomal RNA", at positions 355 to 796 of the family's 1533-position model. The record is from RNAcentral.
CGACGAAUCUUCCGCAAUGCGCGAAAGCGUGACGGAGCAAUGCCGCGUGUGGGAUGAAGGCGCUCUGCGUCGUAAACCACUGUCAGGACCUAGAACCAACGAUCAGGUCCAGAGGAAGGGCCGGCUAAACUCGUGCCAGCAGCCGCGGUAAUACGAGUGGCCCAAGCGUUAAUCGGAAUCACUGGGCUUAAAGCGUGCGCAGGCGGACCUUCAGGCGUCCCGUGAAAUGCCCCGGCUCAACCGGGGAAUUGCUGGGCGAACCGUUGGUCUUGAGGCAGGUAGGGGGGUGCAGAACUGUCGGUGGAGCGGUGAAAUGUGUAGAUAUCGACAGGAAUGCCGAAGGGGAAGCCGGCACCCUGGGCCUGUCCUGACGCUCAUGCACGAAAGCGUGGGGAGCAAACAGGAUUAGAUACCCGCGUAGUCC